Long non-coding RNA from Larimichthys crocea (large yellow croaker), 738 nucleotides. RefSeq lists it as uncharacterized. Lineage: Eukaryota; Metazoa; Chordata; Actinopteri; Sciaenidae. The record is from RefSeq and is a predicted model, not a curated record. The transcript has 5 exons.
UGUAGUAAAAAGUGUAAAAAGUUUGAGAAACACUGCACUAGAAGAUUUCCAAGGUUGCUUGCCAUUUACACUCCAGUCCUGUUGGUGGCAAUGGUGCACAUGAAGCUGUUUAGUGAAUGAUGAAGGGAAAAACAAGAACAACAAAGAAGAAGUGGAGCACAGUUAAAAGAACAAACAUUGGGGGGCAGUAAUGUGUCAAUACAGUGUUUCUUCUGCCGAGUACAGAAGAGAAGAAGAGCUGGGCACUGCUGCAGCAUGUGAUGUUAACGCCAGCUCGUGGAGAGCCGUGCUUUUGUUUUAGUCAUUGUAAAAUGUCUCUCUCCACGUGUCUGUGUUUGCUGAGUUCAACAUGAAGCUGCACCUCAGCACAGGAUCAGGCCUGACCUGACUCAUCAUGGAGGAGCUCCAGACCUCCAUGUGGAGGACAGAGUCACAUAAAGAGCAUUUGUAGAGAUAUGCAUGUGCAUGGAGAGGGUGCAGUACUGCAAGGCUCAGUCAUGCCACUCGUCACCAAACGCUGGUCCAAUGAAACGAGGAUGCAUCGACUGACCUCCAGACUUUGAAGGAAGGUCUGAGGAUGGACAAGAAGUGUCUCCUGAGGCAGGAACCUAACAAAAGUACACUGUCAGCUUCUUCACUCAUGCUCCACCAUGGAAAGCAGUGUCUGCCAGUGGAUCAUUCUCACUAAAAGUCAUGGAUGUACUUCACUUUUCUGUUUAUAAUAAACUUAUAACUGUA